ACUAGAGUAGCACUCGCAUAUCAAUAAGCGGAGGAAAAGAAACUAACAAGGAUUCCCCUAGUAACGGCGAGUGAAGCGGGAAGAGCUCAAAUUUGAAAUCUUAAAGGGUUUCCCUUUACGAAUUGUAGUUUAAAGAAGUGUUUUCUGUUGAGGUUUUGGUAAAAGUUCUUUGGAAUAGGACAUCAUAGAGGGUGAGAAUCCCGUAUUUGACCUUUACCUUUCAACUUUGUGAUACACUUUCAAAGAGUCGGAUUGUUUGGGAAUGCAGUCCAAAAUGGGUGGUAAAUUUCAUCUAAAGCUAAAUAUUGGCGAGAGACCGAUAGCGAACAAGUACCGUGAGGGAAGAUGAAAAGAACUUUGAAAAGAGAGUUAAACAGUACAUGAAAUUGUCAAAAGGGAAGCGUUUGACACCAGUGUUGUUUUUCUGAAAAUCAAUUAAAGAACUGUUUAUGCUAAGCUUGUUUAGACUUUAUCAGCUAUCUGUUUAGUUUUGAGCUUUUCUUUAAUGCACUUUUCAGUUAACAAGUCAACAUCAAUUUCUUUUGCUGUAAAAAAGCUUGAGGAAGGUGGCUUGAGAUUCGUCUUAAGUGUUUAUAGCCUCUUGCCUAUGCAGUCGGAGAGAUUGAGGUCUGCAGCGUAGAUCCUUCGGGGCUAAAUGCAUUUGUGCUAAGUUAUAGCAUUUUAUAGACAACUUGUUGACUAUGAUUUGUCUUGUAGCUUACUCGCUUAUGUUAUUUUACCUACGCUUAGGAUGUUGAGUCAUCACACAUCUCU
Molecule: ribosomal RNA, 774 nt
Filed under: uncultured Neocallimastigales
Lineage: Eukaryota; Fungi; Neocallimastigomycota; Neocallimastigomycetes; Neocallimastigales
Description: partial large subunit ribosomal RNA
Rfam family: Eukaryotic large subunit ribosomal RNA
Source: RNAcentral